This 460-nucleotide unclassified non-coding RNA is filed under the name Rhipicephalus sanguineus (brown dog tick). RNAcentral describes it as "uncharacterized LOC119383670". The record is from RNAcentral. Lineage: Eukaryota; Metazoa; Arthropoda; Arachnida; Ixodida; Ixodidae.
GCAGAACCUGUAAACCGUAUGCAAAUGUGCCUGGAAUCGUUUCACGUUUAUGUUGUGUAUUUUAGCGCUUGAAAUUAUCAAGGCAUUCAAAAAAGGGACAUGUCAUACUACUGGAUACGGAUGCAUGCCAUUUAAUCAAUGCAUGGCAAAGUAUUGGGCGGCUCGCAGUGCCUGUGGAUUAGGUUCCGUUUGCUGCAACCUGGGAAAGAAGAAUGCGUGCUUGUUGGCUGGAGGAAUGUGCAAGCGACAUUGCAGAACUCCUAUGAAGCACAUCAAAUGCUCUAAGCUGAGGAUAUGCUGCUCCAUGGAACCGAUAUCUUACAGACCCCACGGGUACCAUUGAAUAAGGGUGUCACUGAAGAUCUAAGAAUAACAAGAAGACGACUCACGAGAGAUACAACGCAAUUAAAAAACGUUCAUACCAAGAACUGUGAAAAAUAAAUAUGGUAAUGAAAUUCUA